CACAGAGUUAGCCGGUGCUUAUUCUGCGAGUAACGUCCACUAUCCCUAGGUAUUAACUAGAGUAGCCUCCUCCUCGCUUAAAGUGCUUUACAACCAUAAGGCCUUCUUCACACACGCGGCAUGGCUGGAUCAGGGUUCCCCCCAUUGUCCAAUAUUCCCCA
This 161-nucleotide ribosomal RNA is filed under the name uncultured bacterium 1-2. RNAcentral's name for it is "partial 16S ribosomal RNA". The record is from RNAcentral.